GAGUGCCCACUGGUGUCCGAUGGGCUUAGCUGGAGUCGUGCCAGAGGCAGGCAUUUUUCUCCUGUUCCAGGAAGGGAGUUAAGAGGAAGAAAACCCUGCUCGCCCACAGCCAGCUCCCGCUUGUCACCCAGGAUAAAGGUGCCUACAGGGUCUCAGCUGGAAGUCACGCCCAGGCGCAGAUGGCUCCAAGCUGGCUUCGUGGAUGGCUCAGGGAGGCAGGAGCUCCUCCCUGGUGGCUUGGCAGUGGCUUGGUGAAUACAUUUCGGAAAAGGAAGAAGGCAAGCCCAACAACUACAGCGAGACCAGGACAUCCGCUUGGUGGUGUUACACACAAGCAGGGUGACACACGGACAUCCCCGCAGAUGUCCCCUGAGGAAGGUCAGAGCUGGACUCCAGAUAGCAUAACUCGGACUCACAACACCAUUGCACACAUUUGUCGAUUAAAUAGUAAGUAAGCAUUGUUUAUUCUGGGUCUUCAAUACACUUCUUUAAAAAAAAUCUAUUUAUUUAUUUAUUUAUUUGAAAGUAAGGGAGCCACACACAGAGAGAAAGACACAUCAAGAGAGUUUCCAUCUGCUGCCUCACUCCCCAAUUGCCUAGCCAUGGCCAGGACUGGGCUGGGCUGAAGCAGCGAGCCGGGAUUUCAAUCCAGGUUUCCCAGAUGGGUGGCAGGGACCCAAUUACUUGAGCCAUCACCGCUGUCUCCCAGGGUCUGGGAAGCUGGAGUCAGCAGCCAGAGCUGAGUGUGAAACCCAGGCUCUCCGGGGUGGCUUGUCACUGCUCAGCCAAACACCGCCUUCCAUAACACUUCUAAG
RNAcentral lists this long non-coding RNA (815 nucleotides) under Oryctolagus cuniculus (rabbit). RNAcentral's name for it is "lncRNA (ENSOCUG00000031553.1)". Lineage: Eukaryota; Metazoa; Chordata; Mammalia; Lagomorpha; Leporidae. The record is from RNAcentral.